AGAGAAGCACAAACUCACAAGUUCAGUUUCAGUCUUUCUGUACUUCUUAUUUUACAGUGAGAAUCUGAGGCACCUUAUGAGAGAUGAAGGCAGUCAGAUGAUCCAGGCAAAGGAACUGCCGUCCCUGGCUCACCAUUCGCUUCUCCAUGCACAGCUCCCCACUACAAGAAUGGGAAACCUGACUUCCAUGCCUAUAACAGUGCUGGUGUGUAAAGAAGAUAAACAAGAAAGAGGACCCGGGUACCUGCUGAGCCCAGAUAUGUUGAGUUGGAUACCUUAAAAUGAGGCAAGUAGAUUCAACAAGAUGGUGGCACCCAGGAGAACACUGCAUCUGAGGAACAGGACAACAUUUUCCAUACAGAGACCAAGAGACUGAUCUCUGGGCCCUAAAACAACAGUGAUUGUGUUUCCCAGAUAUCAUCUAAAAGACUCAAACCAGCAGUGGAUCAAAGCAGCUGCAGAGAGAUUCACAGCCAGAGUGGACAGAGUGCUUGGAGUUUAAUGGAAGAAGGGGAAUAUAAAAGACUCCAGGGAGGAGCCACAGGAGAACAACAACAACAGCAACAACAAAAAAAAAAAAAAAAAAAAAAAAAAGGAAAGAAAGAAAAA
Molecule: long non-coding RNA, 609 nt
Organism: Meriones unguiculatus (Mongolian gerbil)
Lineage: Eukaryota; Metazoa; Chordata; Mammalia; Rodentia; Muridae
Exons: 4
Source: RefSeq, a predicted model, not a curated record